Molecule: ribosomal RNA, 476 nt
Filed under: uncultured bacterium
Lineage: Bacteria
Description: partial 16S ribosomal RNA
Rfam family: Bacterial small subunit ribosomal RNA
Source: RNAcentral
GACGAACGCUGGCGGCGUGCCUAACACAUGCAAGUCGAGCGAUGAAGCCCUUCGGGGUGGAUUAGCGGCGGACGGGUGAGUAACACGUGGGUAACCUGCCUCAAAGAGGGGGAUAGCCUCCCGAAAGGGAGAUUAAUACCGCAUAAUAUCAUGUUUUCGCAUGAAGAUAUGAUUAAAGGAGCAAUCCGCUUUGAGAUGGACCCGCGGCGCAUUAGCUAGUUGGUGAGGUAACGGCUCACCAAGGCCACGAUGCGUAGCCGACCUGAGAGGGUGAUCGGCCACAUUGGAACUGGGACACGGUCCAUACUCCUACGGGAGGCAGCAGUGGGGAAUUUUGCACAAUGGGCGAAAGCCUGAUGCAGCAACGCCGCGUGAGUGAUGACGGCCUUCGGGUUGUAAAACUCUGUCUUUGGGGACGAUAAUGACGGUACCCAAGGAGGAAGCCACGGCUAACUACGUGCCAGCCGCCGCGGUAA